RNAcentral lists this ribosomal RNA (253 nucleotides) under uncultured bacterium. RNAcentral describes it as "partial 16S ribosomal RNA". It matches the Rfam family "Bacterial small subunit ribosomal RNA", at positions 524 to 776 of the family's 1533-position model. The record is from RNAcentral.
UACAGAGGAUGCAAGCGUUAGGCGGAAUCACUGGGCUUAAAGCGUGUGUAGGCGGAUCGUUAAGUGUCUUGUGAAAUCCCACGGCUCACCCGUGGAACUGCUGGGCAUACUGGCGAUCUUGGGCCAACUAGGGGCAACUGGAACAAGCGGUGGAGCGGUGAAAUGCGUAGAUAUCGCUUGGAACGCCGAAGGUGAAAACAGGUUGCUGGGGUUGUGCCGACGCUGAGACACGAAAGCCAGGGGAGCAAACGGG